GCUUCGGGGCGAGGUGCAAUUCCUCACCGACGGUUAAAGUCCGUGAACCACUUUGUGGCCGAUUGGGUGAAAUUCCCAAACCGACAGUAUAGUCUGGAUGGAAGAAGU
This 108-nucleotide non-coding RNA is filed under the name pig gut metagenome. Its description in RNAcentral is "FMN riboswitch (RFN element)". It matches the Rfam family "FMN riboswitch aptamer (RFN element)". From Rfam's summary of the family: The RFN element is a highly conserved domain that is found frequently in the 5'-untranslated regions of prokaryotic mRNAs that encode for flavin mononucleotide (FMN) biosynthesis and transport proteins. This element is a metabolite-dependent riboswitch that directly binds FMN in the absence of proteins. The record is from RNAcentral.